Molecule: ribosomal RNA, 1279 nt
Filed under: metagenome
Description: bacterial LSU rRNA
Rfam family: Bacterial large subunit ribosomal RNA
Source: RNAcentral
CUCCCGAGAAAAUGGGCUAAACUCAUGUUGGCGGUACCCGUACCGCAAACCGACACAGGUAGUUGGGUAGAACAUACUAAGGCGUUGAGAGAUUCAUGGCUAAGGAACUAGGCAAACUGACCCCGUAACUUCGGGAUAAGGGGUCCUCACCUCCGGGUGAGGCGCAGAGAAUAGGUCCAGGCAACUGUUUAACAAAAACACAGGGCUGUGCGAACUCGAAAGAUGAAGUAUACAGCCUGACACCUGCCCGGUGCCGGAAGGUUAAGAGGAGAUGUCACCGCAAGGGAAGCAUUGAAUUGAAGCCCCGGUAAACGGCGGCCGUAACAAUAACGGUCCUAAGGUAGCGAAAUUCCUUGUCGGGUAAGUUCCGACCUGCACGAAUGGUGUAAUGAUCCGGACGCUGUCUCGGCCAUGAGCUCAGUGAAAUUGUAGUAUCGGUGAAGAUGCCGAUUACCCGCGAUGGGACGAAAAGACCCCGUGAACCUUUACUACAGCUUAGCAUUGACCUUGGUCAUCCGAUGUGUAGGAUAGGCCGGAGGCUUCGAAGCGGCGUCGCCAGGCGUUGUGGAGCCAUCCUUGAAAUACGGCCCUUUGGCUGUCUGAGGUCUAACGCGGAUAGUCGCGGACACUGCUUGGUGGGUAGUUUGACUGGGGUGGUCGCCUCCAAAAGCGUAACGGAGGCUUCCAAAGGUGCCCUCGGGCCGUUUGGUAAGCGGCCUUCAAGAGUGCAAUGGCAAAAGGGCGCUUGACUGGGAGGGAGACAUCCCGAGCAGGCAGGAAACUGGGGCAUAGUGAUCCGGCGGAUGUGUAUGGAAACUCCGUCGCUCAAAGGAUAAAAGGUACUCCGGGGAUAACAGGCUGAUCCCCCCCAAGAGCUCAUAUCGACGGGGUGGUUUGGCACCUCGAUGUCGGCUCGUCACAUCCUGGGGCUGGAGAAGGUCCCAAGGGUUGGGCUGUUCGCCCAUUAAAGUGGCACGCGAGCUGGGUUCAGAACGUCGUGAGUCAGUUCGGUCUCUAUCUAUCGUGGGCGCAGGAGUUUUGAGUGGUGCUGUCACUAGUACGAGAGGACCGUGACGGACAGACCUCCGGUGUACCGGUUGUGCCGCCAGGCGCACCGCCGGGUAUCCGCGUCUGGAUCGGAUAAGCGCUGAAAGCAUCUAAGUGCGAAGCUUUCCACGAGAUUAGAACUCCAUUGAGGGUCGUCGCAGACGACGACGUUGAUAGGGCGCAGGUGUAAAGACGGCGACGUCAAAGCCGAGCGCUACUAAUUGCCCGAAAA